Molecule: ribosomal RNA, 253 nt
Filed under: uncultured bacterium
Lineage: Bacteria
Description: partial 16S ribosomal RNA
Rfam family: Bacterial small subunit ribosomal RNA
Source: RNAcentral
UACGUAGGGUGCGAGCGUUGUCCGGAAUUAUUGGGCGUAAAGAGCUCGUAGGCGGCUUGUCGCGUCGGAUGUGAAAGCCCGGGGCUUAACUCCGGGUCUGCAUUCGAUACGGGCAGGCUAGAGUUCGGUAGGGGAGAUCGGAAUUCCUGGUGUAGCGGUGAAAUGCGCAGAUAUCGGGAGGAACACCGGUGGCGAAGGCGGAUCUCUGGGCCGAUACUGACGCUGAGGAGCGAAAGCGUGGGGAGCGAACAGG